UUUUAACCGUUGCGUCUGUUGUUGAUUGUUUCUUUGAAAGAGACGUACAACUUCUAACGGUGGACCCCUCGGCUCGUGCAUCGAUGAAGAACGCAGCAAACUGCGAUACCUAGUGUGAAUUGCAGAAUUCAGUGAAUCAUCGAGUCUUUGAACGCAAAUGGCGCUCUCGGUUUUGCCGGGGGCACGUCUGUCUGAGCGUUCGUUUAAACUGUGCACGUGCGUAGCUUCGGCCUCACGUGUGCUUUGGGGCGUCGUUCCGGUGUGGGGCGUCCCCUUUAGUGAAACGCAACCCCUCCCGUGGCCCUGUGCCGGGGAUGGAUGCACCUGAUGUGUGCAUGCAUCUCCUCGUCCUGGGCCGAGAGUGGGUGUGUCUG
RNAcentral lists this ribosomal RNA (374 nucleotides) under Placospongia melobesioides. RNAcentral's name for it is "eukaryotic LSU rRNA". The stretch from base 49 to 201 matches the Rfam family "5.8S ribosomal RNA". Lineage: Eukaryota; Metazoa; Porifera; Demospongiae; Clionaida; Placospongiidae. The record is from RNAcentral.